Molecule: long non-coding RNA, 221 nt
Filed under: Lupinus angustifolius (narrow-leaved blue lupine)
Lineage: Eukaryota; Viridiplantae; Streptophyta; Magnoliopsida; Fabales; Fabaceae
Description: long non-coding RNA (LANG_LNC001470)
Source: RNAcentral
UGGGGAAAGGGUGAAUAAUUAAGAGAAGAUAGAGAGAGAUGUGAGUGAGAAUGUAUUAUAAUAUAUAUAAAUAGAAGGUGAGGUAUAACAGGAAAAGGAAUGUGAAGUAGUAACGGUGAAAGCUAAAAAACAAAGGAGGUUAGAGUGGACCAUAGGUGUGGCCAAUGAAGUGUUAAUGUUCAAACAGGAAAAGCAAUGUGAAUAGUACUGUCAGGAAUUCU